Molecule: ribosomal RNA, 434 nt
Filed under: uncultured bacterium
Lineage: Bacteria
Description: partial 16S ribosomal RNA
Rfam family: Bacterial small subunit ribosomal RNA
Source: RNAcentral
AGCGAACGCUGGCGGCAGGCCUAACACAUGCGAGUCGAACGAACCUUUCGGGGUUAGUGGCGGAUGGGGGAGUAACACGUGGGAACGUGCCGUUAGGCUCGGGAUAAUUCAGGGAAACUGGUGCUAAUACCGAAUGUGUCCUGCGGGGGAAAGAUUAAUCGCCCUUAGGGCGGCCCGCGUCCGAUUAACCAGUUGGUUGUGGUAAUGGCGCACCAAGGCGACGAUCAGUAGCGGGUCUGGGAGGAUGAUCGGCCACAUUGGGACUGAGACACGGCCCAAACUCCUACGGGAGGCAGCAGUGGGUAAUCUUGCGCAAUCGGCGAAAGCCUGACGCAGCCAUGCCUCGUGAAUGAUGAUGGUCUUAGGAUUGUAAAAUUCUUUCACCGGGGACGAUAAUGACGGUACCCGGAGAAGAAGCCCCGGCUAACUUCGUG